GACGAACCGUGCAAACGUUGUUCGGAUUCACUGGGCUUAAAGGGCGCGUAGGCGGCCUUCUAAGUCAGACGUGAAAUCCCCAGGCUUAACUUGGGAACUGCGUCUGAUACUGGGAGGCUUGAGUGCGGGAGAGGGAUGUGGAAUUCCAGGUGUAGCGGUGAAAUGCGUAGAUAUCUGGAGGAACACCGGUGGCGAAGGCGGCAUCCUGGACCGACACUGACGCUGAGGCGCGAAAGCUAGGGGAGCAAACGGG
Molecule: ribosomal RNA, 253 nt
Filed under: uncultured bacterium
Lineage: Bacteria
Description: partial 16S ribosomal RNA
Rfam family: Bacterial small subunit ribosomal RNA
Source: RNAcentral